RNAcentral lists this ribosomal RNA (254 nucleotides) under uncultured bacterium. RNAcentral's name for it is "partial 16S ribosomal RNA". It matches the Rfam family "Bacterial small subunit ribosomal RNA", at positions 524 to 776 of the family's 1533-position model. The record is from RNAcentral.
UACGUAGGCAGCAAGCGUUGUUCGGAGUUACUGGGCGUAAAGGGUGCGUAGGCGGUUGUUUUAAGUUUGGUGUGAAAUCUCCCGGCUCAACUGGGAGGGUGCGCCGAAUACUGAAUGACUCGAGUGCGGGAGAGGAGAGUGGAAUUCCUGGUGUAGCGGUGAAAUGCGUAGAUAUCAGGAGGAACACCGGUGGUGUAGACGGCUCUCUGGACCGUAACUGACGCUGAGGCACGAAAGCGUGGGUAGCAAACAGG